CUCAAGGAAGGAGAGGAAGGUUGUCUGCCUUACUUUGGAGGAAGAAGCAGGCAGCAGCCAGGCAGCCUCAUGGUCCAGCUGCCAAGCCUUCCUGGUCACGAUGGAUUAUCCCCCUCUGGAACUGCAAAGCCAAAAUAAACCUGUUCUCCUGGAAGCUGAUUUUGUGUGGAUGUUCUGUCACACCAAGAGGAAAGAUACAGAGGAAAACAAGCCAUCUCUGCGCCUGAAAGAGGCCUCACCAGACGCUGACAUUGCUGCCACCAUAAUCUUGGACUUUCAGCCUCCAGCAGUAUGAAUGAACAAAUCUCUGAUGCACAGCCUUCCAGACAGUGGUGUUCUGCUGGGACUGCCCACUGCACUGCCUCCCGAGACCUCUAGUCAAUCAACAGAGGAGGUGAAGCAGGGAGGCUCACCAUCCAGAGACUGCCCCACCUGGGGAUCCGUCCCACAUAAAGUCACCAAACCCGGACACUAUUGCGGAUGCCAACAAGUGCUAGCUGACAGGAACCUGAUAUGGCUGUCUCCUGAAAGGCUCUGCCAGAGCCUGACAAAUACAGAGGGGGAUGCGCUCAGCCAACUAUUAGACUGAGCACAAGGUCCCCACUAGAGGAGCUAUAAAGGACCCACGGAGCCAAAGAGGUUUGCAGUCCCAUAGGAGGAACGACAAUAUGAGCCAAGCAGUACCCCCAGUGUUCCCAGGAACUAAACCACCAACCAAGGAGUACACUUGGAGGGACCCAUGUCUCCAGUCGUAUAUGUAGCAGAGGAUGGCCUUGUCAAACAUCAAUGAGAGGAGAGGCCCUUGGUCCUGUGAAGGCUUGUUGCCCCAUUGUAGGGGAAUGCCAGGCCUGGAAAGUGGGAGUGCAUGAGUUAGUGGG
Molecule: long non-coding RNA, 878 nt
Organism: Apodemus sylvaticus (European woodmouse)
Lineage: Eukaryota; Metazoa; Chordata; Mammalia; Rodentia; Muridae
Exons: 3
Source: RefSeq, a predicted model, not a curated record